CAGCAGCCGCGGUAAUACAGAGGGUGCGAGCGUUAAUCGGAUUUACUGGGCGUAAAGCGUGCGUAGGCGGCUUUUUAAGUCGGAUGUGAAAUCCCUGAGCUUAACUUAGGAAUUGCAUUCGAUACUGGGAAGCUAGAGUAUGGGAGAGGAUGGUAGAAUUCCAGGUGUAGCGGUGAAAUGCGUAGAGAUCUGGAGGAAUACCGAUGGCGAAGGCAGCCAUCUGGCCUAAUACUGACGCUGAGGUACGAAAGCAUGGGGAGCAGACAGGAUUAGAUACCCCUGUAGUCCCUGUCUCUUAUAC
RNAcentral lists this ribosomal RNA (301 nucleotides) under uncultured bacterium. RNAcentral describes it as "partial 16S ribosomal RNA". It matches the Rfam family "Bacterial small subunit ribosomal RNA", at positions 509 to 807 of the family's 1533-position model. The record is from RNAcentral.